AUGAGAAACAUUUAUCUCACAUAGAAGCAUCAUCUGCUGCUCUCCAGGUAAAUCCUAAUAGCAUUCACUGUUCCAUCUGUCUGCAUUUUACACUCAGAUUCUUGUUUUUCAUUAUAGCCAAGAUUUGAGAGGAUCAACAUGAUGCAUCUUUUCAUCCAGAGCAAGGGAAGAACCCAAAAGCUUCCUAACUACAAUAUUUUGAAGCACUGAUCUCCCUGUUCAGUGGACAGUAGCAGAUGAUGGGGUUCACGAAUGGGGGCAUGGUUUCAUUGCAAUGGGACCUAAGUAGGUUAUUGCCCCCAAAAUGACCAACAGCAGAAGAAUGGCCAGCUGCAAAGUACAGAAGACAAUGAGUCAGAUCUCAGCAUGGAGACAGAUGGAAUGGUGACUGCUAUUGGGAUUUUCCUGGAGAGCAGCAGGUGAUGCUUACACUGAGUGGAACACUUUUCUCAUCAAAUGGAUUCACUCAAAAUGGAAGCUGUUUUAUUUUCCCCACUCCCAAGAGCUGAACCUUCAUUCUGGUGACUAAAGUACAUUAACAAAAUUCUAUUUCAGAACUGAAUCCAAACUUCCCUCCAUUUUCAUCUAGAAAGACUGUCUGGGAAAACCUCAGCCUGGAGGCUCUGGUGCCCAUUUAGCCCCAGUCCAGCACUGGAACAACAGGCACAUCAGGCUCCCUGCAUCUCUGUACUUAUUGCUUCUUGCAGAAGCAAGUGGUGUUUGGUGCCAUGAACCUCCUGUUAUCCAGAGCUCACAUCCUGGUGAAGGUCUGGAGAUGGCUUAUUCUCCUCUGCUGCCUGAGAUACCUCAACUUUCAAUGUUUCGUCAUGAGGAGGCUACAUCUGUUCUCCACCUUUAUCUAGUUAUAGGUGACAAUCACAAUGGUAUGUAAGGUACAAAGCUUAGUGUGAUUUCUGCAUUUGUAGAAAUAGUUGUUCCAAACAAGCUAACUAACAUACAACAUUUCUUUUCAAAAUAUGUCUGUGCCUACAUCAUUUUCAUAGCUGAUUUCAAGGCAAAAAAUCACUUUCAAAGUUUUAUUUAAGUAACUCUCUCACAAAGGUAGGGAGUUAACAAUUCUGAACCUUUUAAUGUUUUAUAUGAAUUAAGUUUCCCUGUUCUUUAUCUCGACCUAUAUUUAUAUGUAGACUUUCUGUCCAGGUUUUUAUUAAAAUAUUUGAAUGAAGUACUAGAUUAAUUUCUAGUCUCCAGUGUUAAUUUAUAAACCUGUGUCACUGUAGUUCUUCUUUGUGUUCACUUUCUACCUAGAACUUAUUUUUUAUUAAAGAAUUUAAGAAAUUCCAUUUUAAAUUUGCUUUAAUAUAUUUUCAGAUAAUG
RNAcentral lists this long non-coding RNA (1338 nucleotides) under Heterocephalus glaber (naked mole-rat). Its description in RNAcentral is "lncRNA (ENSHGLG00000031968.1)". Lineage: Eukaryota; Metazoa; Chordata; Mammalia; Rodentia; Bathyergidae. The record is from RNAcentral.